Etheostoma cragini (Arkansas darter) is the source of this 417-nucleotide long non-coding RNA. RefSeq lists it as uncharacterized. The record is from RefSeq and is a predicted model, not a curated record. Lineage: Eukaryota; Metazoa; Chordata; Actinopteri; Perciformes; Percidae. The transcript is spliced from 4 exons.
AUCGACUGCAGGCGGAGGUAACACUUUGAGAGCAAAAGGUUACCACACUGGAGCAGGACCUGGAGGCUGCUCAGAGCCAAACUAGUGAGCAAAAGCAGCAGGGCAGAAAAGUAAUAGACUGCAUUAGGCAGAGAUGGAGCUGUAGGAAAUACAUGAAGCUCUGUAAAGAGAGAUUGUGAAGGCACACCAGCAAGAAGCUGGAGGCCCACAGAUGGAUUGUAGUACCUCACUGAUUCAACACACAGAAACCCAGCAUGUCCUCCCCUCAGUCUGGCUGCUGCUGCGUACGCAGGAGCUCAAGUCCAAGGUAGAGGUUUUGUGUUUAGUCACACGGGUCUCGUAUCCACAAGAUGCUCUCCACUGUCAACCAACUGGUCCUGGUACGAGGGUGUGGAACCUCUGAAAUUUGAGGUCAGG